RNAcentral lists this long non-coding RNA (418 nucleotides) under Mytilus galloprovincialis (Mediterranean mussel). Lineage: Eukaryota; Metazoa; Mollusca; Bivalvia; Mytilida; Mytilidae. The record is from RNAcentral.
UAGAACAUAGGGGUAAAAUGCAGUUUUUGGCUUAUAACUCAAAAACCAAAGCAUUUAGAGCAAAUCUGACAUGGGGUAAAAUUGUUUAUAAGGUGAAGAUCUAUCUGCCCUGAAAUUUUCAGACGAAUCGGAUAACCUGUUGUUGGGUUGCUGCCCCUGAAAUGGUUAUUUUAAGGAAAUUUUGCAGUUUUUGGUUAUUAUCUUGAAUACUAUUAUAGAUAGAGAUAAACUGUAAACAGCAAUAAUGUUCAGCAGAGUAAGACCUACAAAUAAGUCAACAUGACCAAAAUUGCCAGUCGACCCCUUAAGGAGUUAUUGCCCUUUAUAGUCAAUUUUAACAACUUUUCAUCAUUUUUUGUAACUUUUCUAAAAAUCUUCUUCUCUAAAACUACUUUGCCAAAUUUAAUCAAACUUGGCG